RNAcentral lists this transfer-messenger RNA (365 nucleotides) under Staphylococcus epidermidis. It matches the Rfam family "transfer-messenger RNA". Rfam says of the family: Bacterial tmRNA, also known as 10Sa RNA or SsrA, is named for its dual tRNA and mRNA-like properties. Its role is to liberate the mRNA from a stalled ribosome. To accomplish this part of the tmRNA is used as a reading frame that ends in a translation stop signal. Lineage: Bacteria; Bacillati; Bacillota; Bacilli; Caryophanales; Staphylococcaceae. The record is from RNAcentral.
GGGGACGUUCUUGGAUUCGACAGGGGUCCCCCGAGCUUAUUAAGCGUGUCGGAGGGUUGGCUCCGUCAUCAACACAUUUCGGUUAAAUAUAACUGACAAAUCAAACAAUAAUUUCGCAGUAGCUGCGUAGUAAUAGCCACUGCAUCGCCUAACAGCAUCUCCUACGUGCUGUUAACGCGAUUCAACCCUAGUAGGAUAUGCUAAACACUGCCGCUUGAAGUCUGUUUAGAUGAAAUAUAAUCAAGCUAGUAUCAUGUUGGUUGUUUAUUGCUUAGCAUGAUGCGAAAAUUAUCAAUAAACUACACACGUAGAAAGAUUUGUAUCAGGACCUCUGGACGCGGGUUCGAAUCCCGCCGUCUCCAUUA